This 742-nucleotide ribosomal RNA is filed under the name uncultured prokaryote. RNAcentral describes it as "bacterial SSU rRNA". It matches the Rfam family "Bacterial small subunit ribosomal RNA", at positions 8 to 796 of the family's 1533-position model. The record is from RNAcentral.
AGAGUUUGAUCCUGGCUCAGACUGAACGCUGGCGGCAUGGCUAAAGCAUGCAAGUCGAACGAGCCCGCAAGGGCAAGUGGCGGACGGGUUAGUAAUACGAUCGAACGUACCCCGAAGUGGGGGAUAGCGGUGGGAAACUGCCGGUAAUACCCCAUGUGCUCUUCGGAGGAAAGAUUUAUCGCUUUGGGAUCGGCGAUCGUCCUAUCAGGUAGUUGGCGGGGUAAAAGCCCACCAAGCCGAAGACGGGUAGCAGGUGUGAGAGCACGACCUGCAACAUCGGAACUGAGAUACUGUCCGGACUCCUACGGGAGGCUGCAGCAACGAAUCUUCCGCAAUGGGCGCAAGCCUGACGGAGCAAUGCCGCGUGUGGGAUGAAGUGCCUCCGGCAUGUAAACCACUGUCAGAAAGCAGAAACACUGAUUGCUUUCAAAGGAAGUGGCGACUAACCCUGUGCCAGCAGUCGCGGUAAUACAGAGGCCACGAGCGUUAGUCGGAAUUACUGGGCUUAAAGGGUGCGUAGGCUGUCCUUCAAGCGUCCUGUGAAAGCCUCCCGCUCAACGGGAGAACAGCAGGGCGAACUGGAUGACUCGAGGUUGGUAGGGGCUCACAGAACAGUCGGUGGACCGGUGAAAUGGGUAGAUAUCAGGAGGAACACCGGUGGCGAAGGCGGCUCUCUGGUCCACAACUGACGCUGAGGUGCGAAAGCUAGGGGAGCAAACGGGAUUAGAUACCCUGGUAGUCC